Myotis brandtii (Brandt's bat) is the source of this 885-nucleotide long non-coding RNA. RefSeq lists it as uncharacterized. The record is from RefSeq and is a predicted model, not a curated record. Lineage: Eukaryota; Metazoa; Chordata; Mammalia; Chiroptera; Vespertilionidae. The transcript has 4 exons.
UAAACAAGCUUUGAGCACAGGUGUGUUUCUGAUGGUCUUUGCCCGGUGAAUGUUGACACCACCUACCCUUGAAGAUAGCCUUGAGCAAAUCAGGACUCUAGCAGCUGUCUCUCUUCCUUCCUGAACCUUCUAGACCUGUGCUUGCCUGUGGCGGGAGACCUGCUUUUCACCUCUUUGUGGAAAAGCCUGCAGCAGAUCUGAGAGCCCUGAGACUGCAAUUGGAUUAUGGUGCUGGUUCUUCAUCCUGCCACUUCCUGGAUGACCCCAGUGCAAAUACUCCUGGUAAUGCCAGCUGUUGUUUCUGUCUGCUUAGUAGCUCCACCAGCACCUUGCUUUCCCUCUGUGGGUCCCCCUCCACUUCUCCAGAUGGGCCCGGAUCUAACACAACCACCCCAGUGCCAUGUGACCUACACUUAUCAAAGAACCCCAUCCCCAGGCCACAAUAAUUAGGUCUGGGAUGAGGACAUGACUUUGGAGGGUCUCAUUCUUCUGGGAUUAUGAGCUUUAUACAGAGCCUCAUUCUGCCUGCAGUCAUCUUCCUUCGUGUCUGGAUGGAUAGUCUGCAGGCUGAAGCCAAUCUACACCGGACGUAAAGGAAACGCCUUUUUUAGAAGGUGAGUAGGAUAAAGGAGGGAUCGAUAUAAAGUACAUCCAGAAUCAUCAAGAUGUUGUGUCUUUCUGCACUGAUUAAAUAUUUCCGGCAUUCCUAGAACCAGGCAGGAGCACACAAAAAUUCUGCAACUGGAGCUGCAUGGAACUGAACACCAAGACAAGCUUUCAGAGUUUCUGGCAGCCUACAGAGGCAGGUCCUGGGUAUGGCCACCAAGACCCUUCUUAUCCAGAUUGAACCACCCAGCUUCUUGGUGUUCCUGCCAGACCCCAGAC